CGCUGGAAGAUUUUUCUCACAUGAAAAAUGUUUUCAAAUUGGAUGAAAAACGGUGAUGCUUCCUGCCCUCAGUGAGUCCUGUUCCCAUGGUGCUGUGCAGACUCUCCCAUCCGUGUGGGAGAGAAAGAGAUGCAGCACUUCCCUUCUGAUUGCUUUUCUACUGAACCAAUGCCAAACGCUUCAUGUUGAUUGACUAAUGAAAAAGUACCACUUCAGCUUCCUCAGCCUUCAGGACAAAAUUCUCCAGCGUGGAAAACUUCUGCAGAGUGCACCUGGGGCCACCACUCAGCAGCUCCUGGUUGCUGCUGAAGGCCUUUGUGGUAAAAAACUGACCCGGUGAAAAUUCAGCAGUGCUAGAUGUGUCCAACUUGCUGGUUGAUGUUUUGCUGUCACUUGUGUGGCUGGUUUUGCUGGCACAUUAAGACAUAUACUAAAAUAAGCUUACAAGACUGGCAUGAACAAUGUGUAUCUCUGGACUUGGAUCUUCAGCACUUCUGUUCACAGUGCAACUCCUCAUGGGAGAGGGAUGAACCUGGCUUGGCAACCUGUGUGUUUUCUGCUCCCGUCCACUCUUGGAGCCAGGAAAGGAAGGGGAAAGCUGAGAUAAACCAGUGGAUCCUGGAGGCCUCCUAAAUAGGACAGUUCCCUUUUGGACAGAAAAGCUCCAGGUGCUUGUAGUAUUUAUUGAUGGUAAAUAGAAGCAUGUGAAAUGCAAGUGUGGGCAGAAGAGUAAAAGCAUUGCUUGCCUACUUGCCUACUGUCUUCUGAAUCCAGUCAGCAACUAAAUGUGUUAUAUUC
Molecule: long non-coding RNA, 798 nt
Filed under: Gallus gallus (chicken)
Lineage: Eukaryota; Metazoa; Chordata; Aves; Galliformes; Phasianidae
Description: long non-coding RNA NONGGAT008874
Source: RNAcentral